UCCCUCAUGUGAUCUACUACACAAAUUUAUGGAAAUGGAUCAGGAUAGUGACCUUUUCUCAUCAGUUCUGAGCUCAGGACUGUGUGUCUCACUGCUUAAUCUGUACUUUAAUCCUUUUUCAUCCUGAAAUUCCAUCUUUAUAUUCAGAAUAUCUGAUCAAGUCCUUUUAAAUGUCCAGGAUGUUUCCUGUGUGAUGUGAUGAAACAUCUUCCUGGUUUUACACUCAGGCUUCUGAAAGAGAACUGAUUUACCUGCAGGAACUUUCUACACAGGUAGGACUCACAUCGAUGAUGUCUAGUGUUUUCGGUCUGUAAAGAAUUUGGAUUGAAAAUGUAAAUCAGCUCGAAAGCGUCAGUGUCAUCGUCACGUCUUCGUCAGGUUAUCGCACCGCCCCACGUAGAGACAAAAACUAUUCACUUCCUUCAUGUCCACCAUUAGAAGAAUGCAGGCUGCGGCUCCUGUAGGUCAAACAGAAUGAAAGUAAUGUUGAUAAACCAUUAGAAACAUUCCUGUAACCUGAUUUUCUGCUAGAGAACAAUGCUAAUUGUUGACCAUGUCAAUAUAUUUGUCCUCAUGUGGAUGUGUUUUAAAAGGACAUCGUCAUCAUCAGACCCGGACACUUUACUGAGCUCUUUACGGUCCAUAAAACCAAACUAUAUGAGCAUCCCUCUGAAUCCCAGUUAUCCCAGUAUGGAGAGUUAUAGUGGUUCCUUCCACUUCCUGCAGUGUGACCGUCUCGUCUCCAGCUUCACACAGUAAACCUGCAUCACAGAUUCAGCUUCAUCAUUUCACUCACAAACAUCAUCACAUCCUCAUCACAUGAAGUGCAUUAAAACUACACUGUGAUACAGAUCUGUGAGUGCAGAUGAUGCUGCAUUUAGACCUGAAAAUGCACAAACCUUACAUUUCAUAGAAUCAGAUUUGUUCCGUAGAAAAUAUAUUAUUUACUACAGUAGUGCAUCUAAGACCAGAUAUGGUAUAUUAUGGUAUACGCUGCAUUGCAAAAGUAUUCACUCCCUUAAAAUAUCAUGAGAUUUUAAUGAUAAAGUACAUUUUAAUAAAAAAAAAAUCAUUUAUUUGUUUUGGGACAUUUGUUCUGCUAAAAGGAGAAAUGUCCAAAUAUCUGGGUUUAUCUAAGCAGACUGAAGGUUUUUAUUCUAAAAAUUCAUUCUUUCUUCAGUUUUGACAUCCUAACUCCUUCAGGGUGACUUUGGCCUCACUGUUGGCCUCCAUCACAGUCCUUGUCUAGAUAAUGCUUGUGUAUGUGGUGUGGAUGUAGCUUCCACUUCCUCACUACUGACCUCAGUGGGAUGUCCAACCAUUUGGAUAUAAUUUUACACCCUGUUCCAUCCUAUUAACUGAUCUUUUGUUCUUUCUUAGAAAGCUCCUUCAUUUUCACUUCUUUCACUCAGACUGACUGUGUCUUCAAUGGAAACUCAAUAAAAGUGGUUUUUAUUCAGAAAAUUAGAGCUGUUUUAAUAUUUCAGAGGUGAAAGACAAAUUUAGGUAAAAUGUUUUCUGGUUAAAACAAUAUCUUUCACCUGAGCUUUGAGACAUUUUGGCAUCAAUAAUUAAUUGUGACUGAAAAUAGACUGUAAGAGAACACGAGUGCAAGGAAAAUACUGAAAGGAAAAAUAGAUUCAUUUAUUAUGUGUAAUUCUCACAAACCUGACCAAUUCCAUGGGGGUAAAUACUUUUGCAAGACUGUAAAUUUAAAGUUAUUUUUAUUCAAAAAUGAAACAAGGAUUUAUCAUCAUCAUCAUCAUCAUCAUCAUCAUCACAGAUCAGCACAAUAAUUACACCAUGGAUUUAUAGCCUUAACAAUAUGAAAUCAAUAACCACAUUAAGUCUUUAUUAAACAGCCAAAACACUUAAACUGUAAACAUUAUUUUAUCUGCUAAAGAUAUUAAACUGGACUGAAAUCAUCCAGAAAACUCCUUCAGUACAUUAAUGUGUGCUUUUAAAACUCACUCUAGACUCUGAUUAAAGUACAGCAGUGUUUCUUAAUUAUGGUCCUUAAAUAAAUGAAAAGUAAACACAACAUUUAUUAUAAGAAAAGUUCUAACAGUGUUGUAGAGUCUCCAGAUCAGUGAGAAUAAAUAUGAAGGUUUAGUAUUUAUUCAGAGUCUGUAACACAAACCAAAUAAAAGUUCCUGUGUUUGUGUCUUUGUGUGAAAAGUUAACGUGGUGUGAAACGUGAUCUAACACACAACUGCUGUAUCAGUGUUCAGCUCAACACUGAGGAAAAUUCAUCACACCCAACACACUAACUAUUAAAAAUGACUUUCACAAUCAUCCUUCUGUUAGAGAACAGCUGAAGGGGAUUUGAUUAAAUAUCCACUGAACUCUUUCUUCCUGAAUUCUCUUUCUAUAUAUUUACAGCUCCAGUGUGUUGUGUUUGCAGUAAAGGAGUAAACUUACAGCACAAUAGGAGGAGAACAGACCGGAGAAUCCACUUUCCUGCUAAAAUGGUCACCAUGUUUUUAGUCCACAGUAAGCGUUUCUCAGACAAAACAUUUUCCCGUCGUCCUGCACAUCAGAGUCAGAGAAGAAGUUAAUGAACAUUUUCAGAUAAGAGCCAUGAUGAAGGUUUCACGGUUUUCCGACACUGUUAGUUUAGCGUCUUUACGCACAUCCAUUAGCGCAGAAGCUCCUCCUGUCUAAACAUGUUCACUACAGUUUCCCCUCAGAGUUAAACACAUUUUAACUGUUUUCACAUGGAUUUAAUGCUGAUUCUGAUGUGUUAUAAUACAAAUGGACGAAAUGAUUAUAUAUAUAAUUUUUUUCUCUAAACUAAAUAAAAAAUUAAUUUAAUUAAUUUAUAAGUCUGUAAUAUUAUAUCAGUGUUAAAUGUAUAAAUAAGUGUUUUGUAGUUAAAAGAUAAGUGUUUUUCCCUCUAAUUGGUCAACAAUAACAGGUGACAUAAAUCCAGUGGACACAUGCAGUGUGAACUCUACAGUAUAAACACCUUGUGUUAUGUAGAAGAAGGUAAAUGUUCAGAGCCUUCAGUGUCUCACAUUUAGUCAUCAGUCUGCAUCAUAAACUCCAGUUUACAUCAAUCUUUUUAAACUCUUGUGGUUGGAAGUCAUUUGCAUUUAAAAUGAACUGGUUCUGGGUUUUUUCCAUGUAAAUUUAAAUCAGCUGUGAGAAAUGAUCCACAUCAAAGAUGUGAUCUAAAGACUAACGAUGAGAUCAGUUCUGACUGGGAUUGUAACAGGACUCUGUGUGUGUGUGUGUGUGUGUGUGUGUGUGUGUGUGUGUGUGUGUGUGUGUGUGUGUGUGUGUGUGUGUGUGUGUACUAGUUAAUCUGUGUUUUUAUCCUGAGGACUGUGUGUUGUUGUUGUUGUGUCAUGAAAACCUCUAUAUAAAAAUAAUCUACAAGAGCUGUGACCCAGAUCAAUCACCACACAGAUGAAACGAUUAAAAGAACCGGGUUUGAGCUUUUCCUGUAAAGUUCAUUUACACAAAGUCAGAAGUCUUUAUCAGAUCAAUCAACAUUAAUACCAAGACUUUAAAGUGUAACUCAGUUCAUUUGAACAUGUUAGUGAUGAACUGAACAAACAGAUGUUGUGGUUCCACUGAAUUUCUGCUUUUGAUGGGAAUCAGCAGCAUUAAUGUGUCAGUGUGUAGAACAGACCUUUAUCUUUGUACUUUAAAUACAUGUGUGGUGUUUUUUAGGAUUUAUCGAUUGUCAGUAAUUAUUUAUGGAGUCUGUUGUAGGAAGUUCAACACUGGACUGGAUUAGACGUUACAUUAUAUUCAGGUAACGUGUCAUUUUCACUUCAGUCUGUAAUAUAACAUGAACUAUCAGGCUCACGCUUGUAAACAUUUAAUAAAAAACUUUUUACAUAA
Molecule: long non-coding RNA, 3852 nt
Organism: Tachysurus fulvidraco (yellow catfish)
Lineage: Eukaryota; Metazoa; Chordata; Actinopteri; Siluriformes; Bagridae
Exons: 2
Source: RefSeq, a predicted model, not a curated record